GUCAGUGUGGUGUAGUGGUUUGAACACUGGACUAGAACUCUGGAGACCAGGGUUCAAAUGCGCACUCAGACA
Molecule: non-coding RNA, 72 nt
Organism: Phrynosoma platyrhinos (Desert horned lizard)
Lineage: Eukaryota; Metazoa; Chordata; Lepidosauria; Squamata; Phrynosomatidae
Source: the annotation of a GenBank genome assembly